ACUCUCACAGGUGCUGCUCACACAGUCACACAGAUGGUGCAGAUCACGUGAUAGAUAAGACCUACACAGAAAGGUAAAGAAGAAAAACAACAGUUUGUACAAGUGUUCAACAAGUGGUGCUGACAGUGUGUUCAGAAGAAGAAGAAGAGGAAGAAGAGGAAGAACAAGAACAAGAACAAGAACAAGAACUUAUAAACCAACGACAAAUCAAAUCAAAUGAGACACUGUGUUCUUCUGAGUGACAAAGAUGAUCCAGGUGCUGGUGGUCAAUGAGUGGAGCCGAAGGGCCAAGCAGCCUUGUUAAAGAUUAACAGCAUCUCAGCUUCCACACCACCACUGAUCAAGUAGAAGACAAGAUUUGGGGAGAAGUCAUGGUCCACAGUCGACAGAGACCUGGCCGAGGUUCAGCUUCUUGUUAACUAAUCGGUUUGUAAACGCAGUUUGCCGUGCUGUUGUCUCUAUGGAAAUCCUCCCAGAGAAUGAGAUUCUGACAAAACAACUGCGACCCAGAAUUAAAGCCAUUUUCCCCUCAAUGUCAGCUUGUUCUUUUCACAACUGCACAGAAUGGAUCAUUGUUUGUGAAAUGGGAAUCCUUAUCUGCAGAUUGAGCGACGGGGCCUUGUGUCGCUCUCUGCGGUCUGGAGAAGAAAAUCUGGCAACCGGGAUAAUUUGACAGUUUGAACAGAUAGACUGAGAUUCCCCAGAGCAGGAAGAUGUGACUUUGCAAAGUUCCCAUUUACAGCAAAAAGAUUAGCAUUAUCACGGCAGCACCAUUAACUGACUCAUCUACACAGUGAAUGGACACCAUCCUAACAUUACCGGACUGCUUUCACGGAGGAUGUUUGUACUUGGCUGGACUCGAGCCCUGCGUAGCAACACUGUUUGUCCAGGCAACGAACGUUAUGAGGACAAAGUUCAGCCUUCAAGACGCUCAGAACUUCGCAGCUCGGGGAUCUGCAUCAACUUCUCACAUGGAAUUGAUAUUUAAUGGAGCAGGUACGGCGAUAAAUCAACAAAGGUUGGUAUAGAAACAAGUCAGCCAAGUUGUAAUAAAAUUGCCUUCACACAUCAAAGUUGGCCGCAGCGCUGAACAGGGGUUUUGAUUAUAUGGCUGCAGGUGACUGGUGUGUUUCAGUAAAUCAUAAAACAUUUACGUUAAAACAGACGGCCGGCGUGGCACAUUGGAGCCCAUUGGCUUUGGUGAUUGGGUUACCAUUAGCAGCGGACCACUGCUGACCCGGCCCCAGCAGUCUCAUCACGCCUGUCACUGUAGUUAGAUGAAAGCUAAAAUCAAUACUAAGCGAGUCUGAAGAGCAUUAAUAAAUAAAAAGGGGGAAAAUAAAUAAAUAAGCGGCACAAUAAUUACACCUCGUACAAUAGAUUUUAUAUAAUGGGAUAUCUGUGGCAUUUUGAAAACAGAGGAGGUGAUUGUAUAUACAUCCAUAACCAGUGUGUCCCCACAACAAACCAUAAAGAAUCUCCUCCUCCCUCCUGCGCCGUGAGCAGCUCUUACUUUUUCCAGGCAUCUCAUUUGCUAUCUGGAUUUACAGUAACUCAGUAAAAGGUCUCAUGCUCCAGACCCGAGACUGAACUGAAUUGCAAUGAGCUCGUGGUGGACAAAAUGGAAAGCUAAUUGCCUCAGCCUGCACAUGCCCGCUGAAUCAGAUAAUUGCAGAAUGUGCCGUAUGACAAAAGGCUACAGUGAUUGGUGAAUAUGGAUUAGGUCACGUCCACCAGGAGUGAAAGGUCCACACUGGAGGCUACAGAGGUUCAAUGGAUAUGUGACUGUAGUGCAUACAGUGGUUACAGUACAGGAAAACAUUUGCAUUUCUUCUCAUGUGAACUCUUCCUCCUGUCCCCUUACUACCCUAACUAAACCAGUCCAGCAUGUUUAUUGAUUCAUACAGGGACAUGUCAGUAGAUGUGUCAGUCUCUUUUCAGUCCAAUCUCUCUUGGGGUCAGCCAACAGAAACAUCCAUGCACUGGGUUUGAAAAAAAGAUUUGAAUCUAUCAGGUUACUUAAGAAUUUGAGUGCAUUAUUAUACAGCAGUGAAACAGUAGUGUCACUUCCAUACACUGUUGAUGGUUGAUGGUCUCAUUCUGUGGCUCCCAGGCUGUUACACUUAUCUGUUUUAUAUGAUGUUAAUUCAAUAUUUGGGGAUUUGAAUUAUUGGUGGGAUAAUUGGGACCAAUGAGAUCAGGCCCCUUGAUCAAUUUUCACAAUUUUCUGAAAUCGUUUUGAUUUCAUCAAUUAAAUGAUUAUUUGAUCAACGAGGAAAAUAUUUAUCAGAUUAAACGAUUAUGAAAACUAGAACUCACACUCACCUCCACCAAGGCCCAACUUUCUUUCAUCAAGAUCCAUGAAUUAUUCUCUGAGAAAUGAAGAAAAUGUUUGAAAAAUAUCCUGUCUCUCAAUUUUAAAGUGAAAAAAAAAAAUCCUGUAUCUGCCGCCUGUUUUGGAUGUGCACCAAAAUGUUAUAGUUUCUUCCUUCAGUCAUGCCCCACCUCUCCACCACAUAUAAUGGAAAUCGGUUGAGUAUUUUUCCUGCAUGAAAACAUAAUCUCCUUGGUGGAGCUAAUACAUGUUUACCUCUGAACUGUAUGAUAUGGGUGCACAGAAAUUAUGAAUGAUAAAGUAUUUCUAAAUAUCCAA
This is a long non-coding RNA of Hippoglossus stenolepis (Pacific halibut), 2653 nucleotides long. RefSeq lists it as uncharacterized. The transcript is spliced from 3 exons. The record is from RefSeq and is a predicted model, not a curated record. NCBI's taxonomy places the organism in Eukaryota, Metazoa, Chordata, Actinopteri, Pleuronectiformes, Pleuronectidae.